AAAAAAAAAAAAGAAAAAAAAAUUUGGAAUAAAUGUGUUCAGCAAAAGAAAUGUUAUUAUAUGUUUAAAUAAAUUACAGUUAAUUCGAAAUGAACAAAAAAUUUAAUGUAAUUAAAUUAAAGCUAAGUACACAAGUAAAAUUCUAAACAAUUUCAAAUUGUACAUAAACAGCAUAUACAUAUACAGAUACAUUUAGCAUGUAGCAUAUCUAGCAUAUCUAAAACAUAUGCAUAUGCUGCAUCCGAAUUACAAGCUAGCUAAUCGCAGACUAAGCGCAGACUAAAAUAUGAAAAACUUAAACCUUGAACAUACCAAAGACACUCGAGCAUGAGAAACUGAAUGAACAGUGAGAAGAUUAGGAAAACGGAACCCCAUGCUGAUCCAAUCCGAUCCGAACCCACAAUAAAGAAGCGAUAUCAAAGCAAAUAAAUUGAGAAAAGCGUUUUCGAACCGUUUUUUAUUUCGCACAGUCCCCUGUGCCCUCCACCACCCUAAGUUCCCCCUUGUAAAUAGUAAAAUAAAAGAAAACUCGCUAUUCGAAUUAUCCGACUCAUUCCAUACUUGUAUGUACCUAUAUAUUUUCUGGUAUUUGUAUUUUGGCCUUAGAUCCGUAGUUAGUCGAAUCGAAAUGGAAUCGGAAACGAUACCGGAAACCGGAAACCAAAAACCGUAUCCCUUUCGAUCUAGGAUCUAGUCUGAAGCAAAAACGCUAGUUCUGUAUUCUUAGUUCGUAUUGUAAUUGUAUUAGCUGGCGCUCAAAAAACCAAAUGUAAUGAAAAGUUCUAAAUUGUAAAUACGUAUUUGAUUUCGUUUCGUAACGUACGAGUAUCUUGUGUGGGCUCAACCUAAGUUUCGUCUUUGGCAUAUCAAUCACUCCCAGCUGCAGUUGAGUUUUUCGAUCAGUAAUCAGUAAUCAGAUAUCAGUCAAUCAGUCGAUCAAUGCUAACCGAUUAGAUACACCCACAUACAUAUAUACUGCAUACUAGCACAUACACACACACACAAACACUCACGUACAUGAUUUAGGAGCUGAAAGCGCACUUCUUUCGGUUUUCUUAUUACUUUCAUAUGCUUGAACUAUGCUCUACUCAACUCUACGCUCUACUUAAAUCAACUCUAGUCUAGCCUACUUUAAUCCAAAGCGAAAUGCAUUAAACGAAAUCGAAAAACAUUAGGCGAUAUAUUAGUGAAUAGAAUCGCAGGAGAACAAGAACAAGAUGAUGAUAAUGAUGAUGAUGAUGAAGAAGCAAACAUAUCGUUGUAAAGCAAGAACUAAGUUAUGAAUACCACGAAUAACUCAAAAGGAAAAGUCUAACUUAUGAUGCAUAAUUAUUUUCGAAUAUAACACUAACACGCCACAACAAAGAUUCGACUUCUCCAGUUUAAUUCCAACCAAAAACAAUCUUUUCAAGUUUUCCAUUAAAUUUAAUUGCAAACCUAACAAAAAAAAAAUCUUAACACGCAUACGUAAACAAAAAGGAAUAUUUAUAUAAAAAUAAUGAAAACCAUUUUGAUUGUACGGACUAUAAUGAAACAACACACAUUUACCAUAUGCUAUGUACGAGUAAAUCAAAACAUAAACCAACAAAAAGAAACCAAAAAAAAAAAAUAAAUAAAUCUUUCAAAAUCUUCUCAAUGCUUCAAGAACAAACAAAAAGAAAGAAAAUUUCUAUUAAGGACAAAGACUGCAAAUAGAGAUUUAAAAAAAAAACGUACACUUAAAAAGCAAAUGCAAAUGAAAAAACAUUUAAAUUAAUUGAUUUUCAAUUCUAAUUUGGCCUUGAUUCAACCUACCAGGAAAUAAGUUUAGGUUUAGUUAGAAGUUCAAGAGACAACACCGCACACCAGCAUACAAUACAAUACCAUACAAUACCAAACCGGACCGGACCGGACAGAACUGAAUCGAAUCGAACUUUCAAUUUGAAGAACUCCACCCGAACCGCAGUCAUUUAGCAUCAGCAAUAGCAUAAUUUUUGAAUAAUAAUAAUAGCAAUCAUGCAGAACCAAAGAACAAGACCCAGUCACUAAUAAGGAUAUCAAAGCAGAUAAUAACAUACAUACAUACGUACUUAUAAUACAAACUUGAUUCGAACACGAAAAACAGUCGCAAUAAUCUCCAUUGACAAAAAAUCUAGUAUUACGCCCGAUAAGAUAUUACAAAGCAAAAACGAAAACGAAAACCGAAACCGAAACUCACACACAGAAAUUAAACUAAAAGAAACAAAAGAACGCAUAAUGAAAACAAAAGAAAACGAAACAAAACAAAACAAAAAUGGAAAUGUUGUUAAGAUUAAAAAUGAAAUGUUUUAUAAUCGUUAUUCAAUAAAAAUAAAAAAUAAAUCAAUUUCCAAGAAAUCAUUAACCAAUAAACGCAAGCAAUGGCGCAAUUCGAAUUCAUUCGAACAAUUCUAGCUGUAAUCUACCACCAUCUCUAUCGAUAUACCAAUCUAUCGAUCUACCAAUCUAUCGAUUCCUAGGCAAUAACCCAACCAACUUGUCCCAAAAGCCCCAUUUUGAUACAUUUUAGACUAGCUGGUAGUAUUUGCUUUGUGUUCGUACUUCUAACUAAUUAAUUUAUUUUGGGUAGGCCUAUUCGCAAGGGAUGGCAUUAGAUCUAGUUAGUCACUACGUUAUUCCUACAGUUAUCGUAAUUAUCGUAAUCAUAAGCCUUGGCGCUAGUUACCUAGAUCUAAGUCCAGACCCUUCGUUCCGAAGAGGGGGGCUUGGCACCUCCCCCUUUUCUUGUCGAACACGCAGACAGACAACCCCAUACACACAUACCCGAGUCAUUAACCAUUACAACCCACAGUAAAUAUACUAUAUAUACAUAUAUAUAUAUGCCAUGCCAGUAGCACAUUCCAUUGCAGACAUCUCCUAGCGUAGUUUAGAUCUCUUGCCCACCCUCCCCCACAACCUCCCCCCAAAAGAAAUGCAUACACAUAUCUCCGUGAGCACACACUAUAUCGCAGAUAUAGCGAUAAAUCGAGUGAGAAAAGUAACAAGAGUACACUUAAAAAAGAAUACCCACACAACUUACUGAAAAUCUUGGAAAGUUGAAGUCCAAACAGGUUAAAUCCGGCCCCGGCAGUCAAAGCGAUGCUAGUGAUAAUCCAGCGAACGCAUUGACCAUAUUAUUGAUAAUAAUCGUAUAUGGAAUAUUUUGUAAACUUUUGCUUACGUUCUCCCCCCUGCGCCGAAUGUAAAACUGUAAGAAUCGCUUCAGCGCUCAGCCGCCUGCACCUGCUCAGCCGACGCUCCUGCGCUAUCCUGCUAUACCGUAACCGUUAUCGUAGCCGUUACCGUUACCGUUACCGUUAUCGCUAUAUCAUUAACGCUAUCGCAACCAGAAAUGCCAGCAGCAGCAGCA
Molecule: long non-coding RNA, 3367 nt
Organism: Drosophila santomea
Lineage: Eukaryota; Metazoa; Arthropoda; Insecta; Diptera; Drosophilidae
Exons: 2
Source: RefSeq, a predicted model, not a curated record